GUCUGUUUGAUUCAUCACAACACACACUCACUAUUGAGAUGGAAAGUCCAUCCACACAGCAGGAGGUGACGUCUGCUCAUUCACAUGUGGACUUGUGUAUACGCAUGUGUAGCUAUUUUUCCCUGUGUUGAUGUAUGUCUAGUAUGUUUGUGUAGGUGUGUGUACGUAUGUGUACAUGUCUAUAUAUAGUAUGUAUGAACCAGUUCUAUGGUACCAACAGUUAGUUUCCAGCCAGUAUGUGAGCUCAGUUUAGCCUGUCUUUUGUUCACACAGGUGGAUCCCAAUGAAUGUGUAUUGGAACCUUUGAAAGUCUAAUAUCUUGUAAACAAUUUUGACUAUAGCUUAGAUAUUCUAGAGGAGCAAUGAGCUCACCAUGCUGAACGUUUUGCUAUAUAAUAUGUGUAUGUUGUUUAAAUGUUGCGGGAGUAGAUUCAGUUUAUACAUUUUUCUAGGCUUCAAUGUUUGAAAGGGAAAGCCACUCACACACACAUGAGAUUUACAUUUAAGUUUAGCUUAAAUGAUCUUAAAUUAACUAUUUCUAAAGCUAUAGCACACUAGUCCACUAUAGCAGCUCUGAUAUUAUUUAGUCUUUCUAUGUUAAAGUUUGUAGAGUAGAUGAACGUGAAACAGAAAAAGAAGAAUGCAAGAGAACAGUACUAGUGUUGAUGAUGAUGAAGAAUGGUUCAGCAGCUCAUCAUGUCUUGU
This is a long non-coding RNA of Gadus macrocephalus (Pacific cod), 705 nucleotides long. RefSeq lists it as uncharacterized. NCBI's taxonomy places the organism in Eukaryota, Metazoa, Chordata, Actinopteri, Gadiformes, Gadidae. The record is from RefSeq and is a predicted model, not a curated record. The transcript has 3 exons.